This 253-nucleotide ribosomal RNA is filed under the name uncultured bacterium. RNAcentral's name for it is "partial 16S ribosomal RNA". It matches the Rfam family "Bacterial small subunit ribosomal RNA", at positions 524 to 776 of the family's 1533-position model. The record is from RNAcentral.
UACGGAGGGUGCAAGCGUUAAUCGGAAUUACUGGGCGUAAAGCGCGCGUAGGCGGUUUGAUAAGUCGAUUGUGAAAUCCCCGGGCUCAACCUGGGAAUUGCAGUCGAGACUGUCAGACUAGAGUGUGGGAGAGGGUGGUGGAAUUCCCGGUGUAGCGGUGAAAUGCGUAGAUAUCGAGAGGAACACCUGCGGCGAAGGCGGGUUGCUGGGCUGACACUGACGCUGAUGCGCGAAAGCUAGGGGAGCGAACGGG